GAGGGGAUAGUUUAAUUGGUAAAAGAUGAGCUUUGCACGUCCAAUUUAUGGAUUCAAAUUCCAUUUUCUCCA
Molecule: transfer RNA, 72 nt
Filed under: Lipomyces starkeyi NRRL Y-11557
Lineage: Eukaryota; Fungi; Ascomycota; Lipomycetes; Lipomycetales; Lipomycetaceae
Rfam family: tRNA
About the family: Transfer RNA (tRNA) molecules are approximately 80 nucleotides in length. Their secondary structure includes four short double-helical elements and three loops (D, anti-codon, and T loops).
Source: Rfam by way of RNAcentral